UACAGAGGUCUCAAGCGUUGUUCGGAUUCAUUGGGCGUAAAGGGUGUGUAGGUGGCGCCGUAAGUCGGGUGUGAAAUUUCGGAGCUUAACUCCGAAACUGCAUUCGAUACUGCGGUGCUUGAGGACUGGAGAGGAGACUGGAAUUCCUGGUGUAGCGGUGAAAUGCGCAGAUAUCAGGAGGAACACCGGUGGCGAAGGCGGGUCUCUGGGCCGAUACUGACGCUGAGGCGCGAAAGCGUGGGGAGCAAACAGG
RNAcentral lists this ribosomal RNA (253 nucleotides) under uncultured bacterium. RNAcentral describes it as "partial 16S ribosomal RNA". It matches the Rfam family "Bacterial small subunit ribosomal RNA", at positions 524 to 776 of the family's 1533-position model. The record is from RNAcentral.